CGCCUGUAUGACCCAGCUGUGUAACAGUACUCAUCUGACGUGCGUUUCAUUGCAGAUUUAUUACGUGUAGAGGUGUCUUAUUUUGAAGAGUAGAAAAUUUGGCUGUACUCGAUCGUUAAAAUCUAAGCUAAGGUUAGAAAUUAUUACAAACUAUGGAUUUGUGGAUUUUUGUCUGUGGUUUUCUUAAGCAUUUUUAACUCCAUGAAAAUGAUUUACAUUGCAAACUGUGUACGAGACUUCCACAACGAAUUGCUAAUCAGUAAACGACAAGUUUCAGACUGAGAGGGUCAAUAUCUGCGACAAAAUAUGGUCUUAAUACCCAGGCGGAUCUGAAUCUAAGAACGCGCACUUUCUACUGCUCACGGUCCUUCGCCUCCUGUCAUGGUUGCAAUUUUUUAACUACGUGGAAAGCCCAUGACAGGGGGUUAACGGCAAUUUCUCAGCAUCAAUUUUUCACAUAAUUCACAGAACCAAAUUCGUAACUCACUCUCACAUCAGUGUAGUUCACAUAGUUGACAUGCUGUAUUUGUUCGCUCUAUUAAGUGAAUCUCCAGGUGUUCAUUUUCUCCCUUUCUUCUUACGUGCUGUGACAGUGAUACAAAUGAAAAUGUAUCUAUCUCUAAAAAUGAACUAUUCAAUUAUGGUGUGAGUGUUUAUCUAAAGUAAGUGGUGGUCCAAUAUAUAAUUAAGCAGUGAUGACUAAAUACUGCGUGAACAUUUCUCCUGGGACUAUGAUUUUCAUUGAGAACACGUCAAUUCUUGCUAAUAAUCAGCUAUUUUGUCUUCUCUUUGAAUGGCGUAACUACAGAAAAAAAUCUUCAUCGUCUAAUGGAGCUUUGAGUUCACCCAUGCAUCAAGCUGCUUCCAUUGUCUCUUGGAUUAAUGUAAAUAUUCCUGUGAUUUGGAUGGGCAGAGGGUGAGGUGGCAGGGGUUAAAAAUUAACAAAAAAAAAGUCAGCAUAUUUUACAGGCGAUUCCUUACCCCCAAAACAGCACGAAGGUAUUAUCAAUCUCUUGAAUGAGAUUGGAAGCAGCCUCAAAAAAGAGUUAGAUUUGUUAUUCAGUUUGAUCCAUUAAGAUGAACAAAUUGAACCAGAGGAAAAACGGGAUGAGCAGCUAAGUGACAAUAGUAAAAUUUCCAAGUGCCUUCAAUUAUGUAGAAUGCAAUUUAAGUAACUUCAAAGUAACCUUGUUUAGGUAUCCGCAGAUUUGAAGGCGUUUUGAAGUUGUGCUCCAAAGUAUGAGAUUGUGUAAAUUAUGUUGUCGAACAUUAGAUUCAUGGCCAGCUUUAUGCGUUUGAUUGUCGCUAAAUGAGUUUUAUAGCCCGGUUGUAAAACUCAUAUGGCCGGCUAUGAAAUCGUUACAGCCGGCCGUAUGAGCGCUCAUAUAGCCGGCCUUAAGCCGUACGCCCGGCUGUAUGAGCUCACAUAGCCGGCUAUCACCCAUACUGGGGGUAGUAUGAGGGCUCAUAAGGCCGGCCGUAUGCCAUACAUCCGGCAGUAUGAGGGCGCAUAUAGCCGGCAAUAUGCCAUACUGCCGGCAGUAUAACACCAUACAGCAGGCCAUAUUCUAGGUGGGGGUAGCCACCCCGGCCCAAUCCUAAAAAACUUCCCCUAAAAAAUGACGGCCCAAAAAAUAAAAAUGAAAAACAAAAAGUGGCUGCUGCCUAACUAGUUUAACACGAAACAAUGCGACCGGGCUUUUCUGCACGGUUUGUGGUCCAUGAAGCUAACCUACUAAUUAACCCUUUAAGGGCCGCGCUAGGAAUACGCCCGCGCAUCCCCCUACACAGGGUUAGGAAUGGGAGAACAUGCAAUUUUGUACUAGUUUCAUAGAGCUUCCCGUUGCGUGCAAAUUUAUGGUACAAUCGACUUGAAAUUUUUUCAGAGGUAUCAUGAUAGUUGUGAGAUUGAAGAAAUGGCAGUAGAUUUUGGUCGUGAGUCUGUACUCAAUGACGUCCCUAUAUUUUAAUGGUAAGAAUUAGGAGUGUUUUUAGUUCUUUUUUCUUUUUCAGGGAAAAAAAUAAAAUUUAAAAGAUCACAGUUUUUGGAUUUGGCUAUGCUCGUAAAAUAAAGCUCACACAUCGCAAAACAGUAAGGCUAAUGAUUUUUCCUCAAUAAGACGUUAAUUCAAUGUCACAUUUUAAGUAGGUAGAGAAUAAAUUAGGGGGCUUAUGGACCUUUAAUGAGUCAUGCAUUUCCUUUUCAUGUUUAGAACAAGACUGUGAGAUCCCGGCAGAGAAGAUCAUAAAUUGCUCAUCCUAAAAAUUUAACUGCAAUUUGGGAGACCAUUCGCUAAAUGUAGAAAAUCAUGUAAACUUUUCUUAAAAAAGUGUUACAUUAGUGUACUUAGUAAAAGUUCCAACUGUAGUGUGCAUCUCUCAAACACAACUUUCUUAAGGAACGCGAAUAAUAUUUUCUUUGCCCAAGAACUGCACGAUCAAUUAUUUGCAUGUGUAAAUAUGUGAUUUCCGUGCCAUGAAGCAGGUAAACCAUGUAAGCUAGUUUCUUGACAGAGCACGGAAACCAGAUUCAAGGAAAGCAUGGGCACGGAAACCAGCUUCAGAGAAAUCAUGGUCACCGAAAUAUUUGGUCCAAAAAUCCGUGGGUCUGAUUUCCUUUGAAAAAUUCCACGGAAAUGUAACGUAACAUUUUGACCACGAGUACAGAUAGUGAAACUUGAAAAAAAUAAUCUCUUAGCGGGAUUAUUUAAAAUUUAUGUUGUCAAAUGCGCUGGAAUUCAUCAAUUGACACCUCCUUCUCAUUGAUUUUUACAUAUCUAUUUUUGUUUAUAUAAUUUACAAGAUUUCUUUAAAAAAAUUGAUGAACUUAUGCUACAAGAAA
Bemisia tabaci is the source of this 2842-nucleotide long non-coding RNA. RefSeq lists it as uncharacterized. The record is from RefSeq and is a predicted model, not a curated record. Lineage: Eukaryota; Metazoa; Arthropoda; Insecta; Hemiptera; Aleyrodidae.